RNAcentral lists this ribosomal RNA (489 nucleotides) under uncultured bacterium. Its description in RNAcentral is "partial 16S ribosomal RNA". It matches the Rfam family "Bacterial small subunit ribosomal RNA", at positions 28 to 507 of the family's 1533-position model. The record is from RNAcentral.
GAUGAACGCUCGCGGCAGGCUUAAUACAUGCAAGUCGUGGGGCAGCAGGACUGUAGCCCUACAGUUGCUGGCGACCGGCAAACGGGUGCGGAACACGUACGCAACUUACCCUGAACUGGGGGAUAGCCCGGGGAAACCCGGCUUAAUACCCCGUAAUAUACUGGAGUGGCAUCCCUUUAUUAUUAAAGCUCCGGCGGUUCGGGAUGGGCGUGCGGCUGAUUAGGUAGUUGGUUGAGGUAACGGCUCACCAAGCCUACGAUCAGUAACUGGUGUGAGAGCACGACCAGUUACACGGGCACUGCGGCACGGGCCCGAAUGCUACGGGAGGCAGCAGUAAGGAAGAUUGAGCAAUGGAGGCAACUCUGACCCAGCCAUGCCGCGUGGAAGAGGAAGGCCCUCUGGGUGGUAAACUUCUUGUAUAGGGGACGAAACCUGUGUAUUCUUACGCAGUUGACGGUACCCUAGGAAUAAGCACCGGCUAACUCCGUG